Molecule: non-coding RNA, 401 nt
Filed under: Pongo abelii (Sumatran orangutan)
Lineage: Eukaryota; Metazoa; Chordata; Mammalia; Primates; Hominidae
Source: RNAcentral
CAUUAUGAAAAACUGAACACAUUUAUUCAAUUUCCAACAAUCACCAAUUCGAAAUGGGCUUAAAUGACAAUACAAAGAAAGCUAUAAGCAAACAUUUUGACAGGGGGAAUGUGAAGAAUUAGAACAAACUGCUUAGGAAACUACAGUGUGUCUGUGUUUGUGUCGUGUGUGUGUGCAGAUACUGUCUCUUUACACACAGAAGUACAAUGCUUGCAUCUUGGUACACAGACUUUGUGAUAGGUUUUUUUCCUUGUCAUGAGCCUUUUUGCCAUGAAGGAGCCAGUGUGGGAAAGUGGUUAAGAACAGGAGUUCUCAAGUCAAAUUGCUGGGGUCUGAAUCUCGACUCUCCAUCAUUAGUUGUGUGACAUAUGCAAAGGACUUAUCACUGAGAAUGGCACAUG